CCAGACUCCUACGGGAGGCAGCAGUGGGGGAUAUUGCACAAUGGGGGAAACCCUGAUGCAGCGACGCCGCGUGUAGGAAGACGGUCCUCUGGAUUGUAAACUACUGUCCCCAGGGACGAAGAUGACGGUACCUGGGGAGGAAGCUCCGGCUAACUACGUGCCAGCAGCCGCGGUAAUACGUAGGGUGCGAGCGUUAAUCGGAAUUACUGGGCGUAAAGGGUGUGCAGGCGGCUGAGUAAGACAGAUGUGAAAUCCCCGGGCUUAACCUGGGAACCGCAUAUGUGACUGCUUGGCUAGAGUGCGUCAGAGGGAGGUGGAAUUCCACGUGUAGCAGUGAAAUGCGUAGAUAUGUGGAAGAACACCGAUGGCGAAGGCAGCCUCCUGGGACGCAACUGACGCUCAUACACGAAAGCGUGGGGAGCAAACAGGAUUAGAUACCCUAGUAA
RNAcentral lists this ribosomal RNA (446 nucleotides) under uncultured bacterium. Its description in RNAcentral is "bacterial SSU rRNA". It matches the Rfam family "Bacterial small subunit ribosomal RNA", at positions 331 to 793 of the family's 1533-position model. The record is from RNAcentral.